AGUGAACGCUGGCGGUAGGCCUAACACAUGCAAGUCGAACGGCAGCACAGUAAGAGCUUGCUCUUACGGGUGGCGAGUGGCGGACGGGUGAGGAAUACAUCGGAAUCUACUUUUUCGUGGGGGAUAACGUAGGGAAACUUACGCUAAUACCGCAUACGACCUACGGGUGAAAGCAGGGGAUCUUCGGACCUUGCGCGAUUGAAUGAGCCGAUGUCGGAUUAGCUAAUUGGCGGGGUAAAGGCCCACCAAGGCGACGAUCCGUAGCUGGUCUGAGAGGAUGAUCAGCCACACUGGAACUGAGACACGGUCCAGACUCCUACGGGAGGCAGCAGUGGGGAAUAUUGGACAAUGGGCGCAAGCCUGAUCCAGCCAUACCGCGUGGGUGAAGAAGGCCUUCGGGUUGUAAAGCCCUUUUGUUGGGAAAGAAAAGCAGCAGGUUAAUACCCCGUUGUUCUGACGGUACCCAAAGAAUAAGCACCGGCUAACUUCGUG
Molecule: ribosomal RNA, 492 nt
Filed under: uncultured bacterium
Lineage: Bacteria
Description: partial 16S ribosomal RNA
Rfam family: Bacterial small subunit ribosomal RNA
Source: RNAcentral